Molecule: ribosomal RNA, 253 nt
Filed under: uncultured bacterium
Lineage: Bacteria
Description: partial 16S ribosomal RNA
Rfam family: Bacterial small subunit ribosomal RNA
Source: RNAcentral
UACGGGGGGGGCAAGCGUUGUUCGGAAUUACUGGGCGUAAAGGGCUCGUAGGUGGCCAACUAAGUCAGACGUGAAAUCCCUCGGCUUAACCGGGGAACUGCGUCUGAUACUGGAUGGCUUGAGUUCGGGAGAGGGAUGCGGAAUUCCAGGUGUAGCGGUGAAAUGCGUAGAUAUCCGGAGGAACACCGGUGGCGAAGGCGGCAUCCUGGACCGACACUGACGCUGAGGCGCGAAAGCUAGGGGAGCAAACGGG